This is an RNA transcript of Musa acuminata AAA Group (dessert banana), 3016 nucleotides long. It is a transcript of the gene named protein CLMP1-like, with no coding region annotated. NCBI's taxonomy places the organism in Eukaryota, Viridiplantae, Streptophyta, Magnoliopsida, Zingiberales, Musaceae. The transcript has 2 exons. The record is from RefSeq and is a predicted model, not a curated record.
AGAGAACAUUACAUAUAGGGAAGGAUCCAUUCGCCACUCUCCUGACCCGUAACCCCGUUCCCUUCUCUCCAAUUAUCGGCACAGAGAAGAAUGGGGAAGUCCGGUGGCCGAAAGAAGAAGAACGCGACCGCUCCUGCCGUGGCCGCCACCGCCACCGCCCCCGCCACGGCCCCGGCCCCGGCCCCCGCCGCCCCAGCGUCGCCACCUCCGCCGCCGCCACCGACGGCCUCCUCCAACGGGGUCGUGGAGAUCGACCUCUCCCUCCUCUUGAAGCGCGCCCACGGUCUCAAGGAAGAGGGCAACCGGCUAUUCCAGGCCAAGGAUUAUGCGGGCGCACUCCGGCAGUACGAGAUGGCCCUCAAGCUCACCCCCCGCAGCCACGCAGACCGCGCCGUCUUCCACAGCAAUCGCGCGGCCUGCCUCAUGCAGAUGCGCCCCGUGGACCACGAGGCCGUCGCCGCCGAGUGCUCGCUCGCCCUCCAGGCGCAACCGGGUUUCCCCCGCGCCCUCCUCCGGCGUGCCCGCGCUCUCGAGGCCCUUCGCCGCUACGACGUCGCUCUCCAGGACGUCCAUGCGCUGCUCGACCAGGACCCCUCCCACUCCGACGCCCUAGACCUUGCCCGCCGCCUCCGCGCCGCCCUCGCCCCCUCCGCCCCCUCCGCCCCUGCCGCCGCCGAUCCCGGUAGUCGUCCCUCGCCUGCGGCCCUCGGCGCCUCCGCUGUUCGAGUUGGCGCCCCGGUCGCGGGUCUCGGACCCUGCCUCCCCGCCCGCCCCAAGAAGUCAUCGCCCUCUGCACAGAAUCCACAGAAUUUCAUGACGGCCAAUAAGCCGACCUCCUCUUCUCAAAACCACCACCCACCGACCUCACCUGCUCUUUUUAAUGGUCCUGACACUAAACCCCCUCGGCAGCUUCUUUCUAAGCCGUCUAGUGCGGAGGCCUCAUCGCAACCAGUGCUGGUUGGUUCACCCGUUGACGGUUCACAGCAAAGCGCUGGAAAGGAGCCUUCUUUGAGAACGGUGGUAAACCGAUGGAGGCCGCUGAAGCUCGUGUAUGACCAUGAUAUAAGGCUUGGUCAGAUGCCAGCGUAUUGUAGCUUCAAGGUUCUAAGGGAGAUUGUAGCGAAUAGGUUUCCAUCGUCCAAGUCGGUGCUGAUCAAGUACAAGGAUGCCGAUGGUGAUCUCGUGACUGUGACCAGCACUGCCGAGUUAAGAUUGGCUGAGUCUUCUGUCGAUGAGCUCAAUAAGAAAGACAAAAAGGAUGGUACUGGAAUGGAUAUGGAUGAUAAACUACAACUGUUGAGGUUGCACAUCGUGGAGGUGUUCCCUGAGCAAGAACCUCUGAUUCAAGAAGAAGAGGAGAAGAUGCCGGAGGAUGAGGGGUUGAUAAAGACUGAUCAGAGUGUGUCGGAUUCAUCAAAUGGGGACUCCAUUGCUGAAGCAGUAAACAAUGAUGUCGUAAAGAUAGGCUCAGAGGCAGAAGAAGUUGCAAAAGAUAACGGUGAGGAUGCAAACAACGGAUGCGGCCAUGCUGAGUGUAAGGAGGCUGAGAUUGAUGAUUGGUUGUUCGAAUUUGCUCAUCUGUUCAGGAAUCAAGUUGGAAUAGACCCUGAUGCCCACUUAGACUUGCACGAACUGGGAAUGGAGCUGUGCUCUGAGGCACUCGAGGAGACAAUUACGGGAGAGGAAGCCCAAGGACUCUUUGACAUGGCAGCUGCUAAGUUCCAGGAGGUGGCAGCACUGGCCUUCUUCAACUGGGGGAAUGUGCACAUGUGUGCUGCACGAAAACGCAUCCCCCUGGAUGAGGCUUCACCCAAAGAAGUUAUGGCUGCUCAACUUCAAACAGCAUAUGAUUGGGUGCGGGAGAGAUAUGCUCUUGCUGGGCAAAAGUAUGAGGAGGCGCUUCAAAUCAAGCCCGACUUUUAUGAAGGGUUGCUUGCUUUGGGGCAGCAGCAGUUUGAAACUGCAAAGCUCCAUUGGUCCUUUGUCUUGGCUAAGAAUGUGGAUCUGUCAACAUGGGACUCUUCAGAAACAAUCAGACUUUUUGAUAGUGCAGAGGAGAAGAUGAAGUCUGCUACUGAGAUGUGGGAGAAAGUGGAGGAGCAAAGGAUUAGUGAGCUUAAAGACCUUGGAAAAAGCAAGGAGGAUGAGUUGUUAAAGAAGAGGAAGAAACAGAAAGCAAUAGAUGGUCAGGCUGAGUUGUCAGCCGAUGAAGCAGCAGAGCAAGCUGCAGCAAUGAGAUCUCAGAUACAUCUGUUUUGGGGUAACAUGCUCUUUGAGCGAUCACAACUUGAGUUUAAGCUUGGAUUUGGCAACUGGAAAAAGAAUCUUGAUGCUGCUGUUGAAAGAUUUACGCUAGCUGGGGCUUCUGAAGGAGACAUAUCUACAGUUCUGAAGAAACAUGCUUCCUGUGAAACUGAAGCCGAGUGUGAUGAGAAGAAAGUGACAAGUUCGAGCACCACUGCUUCAGAGGUAAAUUCCAAAGAUGAGGAUAAGCACAUGCUGGAGAAUUGACAUCGUAGGACUUGCAUGUUUGGUUAUAACAGAGUUUUUAAAUUGAGAUGGUAGAUCUUCUUGGCUUGGAUGAAGGACUAUCUUAACAGUUCAGCAAGGUUCUCUUAGUCCCUGGUGUGGCAAUGUUGCCUUUCCUUGUGGUUCAAUGCUUCUGCUUUUUGCUGAAGGAAGUUGGUGCUUUUUUGACUGAGAUAUCACCUGGGAUGUAUUGAGACAAUUCAGAGACAAUAGCUUGCUGUGUUUGCAGAUGUUAGGAUGUGCUGAGGUACUCAUCAUCUGUUUGUCAAAAUUCAUCUUUUUAGCCAGUUAUUUAUGUUGCAUAAUUGUCUGAUCAUGCCGUACUCCAUAGCAAUGGUGGUCUUGGUGAGACAUGUUCUACUUCUGUUAGCUUCAUCUAACAUUCUGGGAUGUACUGAGAUUUCAAAACCCAUGAGACAACUUGUUAUGUUGGUACAUUUUCUUCUCUAAACUAACUGUUAAAGAUACUUGUUUCUUACAGUUCAAA